GAUUUUUCUUAAUCACUAAGGCUCUAGUUUCGCUAUAUAAACAGCGCUCGACCCCUCGACCUUUCAUAUUCGCAAAGCAAAAACUGGUAAUCAUCGAUCUACCUUCGAAAUCUCUUUCUCCGAUUCUCAACUCAAGAUGCAAAUCUUUGUGAAAACACUUACUGGCAAGACCGUCACCCUCGAGGUUGAGAGCUCUGACACUAUUGAUAAUGUCAAGGCUAAGAUUCAGGAUAAGGAGGGAAUCCCUCCAGACCAGCAGAGAUUGAUUUUUGCUGGCAAACAGCUUGAGGAUGGCCGCACUCUGGCUGACUACAACAUCCAAAAGGAGUCAACCCUCCACUUGGUUCUCCGUCUGAGGGGUGGCAUGCAGAUUUUCGUGAAAACCCUGACCGGUAAAACUAUCACAUUGGAAGUUGAAAGUUCUGACACAAUUGACAAUGUCAAAGCAAAGAUUCAGGACAAGGAAGGUAUUCCACCAGAUCAGCAAAGGUUGAUAUUUGCUGGCAAACAGCUUGAAGAUGGUCGCACUCUUGCAGAUUACAAUAUUCAGAAGGAGUCCACCCUUCACCUGGUUCUUCGUCUUAGGGGUGGUAUGCAAAUCUUUGUGAAAACCCUCACUGGGAAAACCAUCACACUGGAAGUGGAGAGUUCUGACACAAUUGAUAAUGUUAAAGCCAAGAUUCAGGACAAGGAGGGAAUCCCCCCUGAUCAGCAGAGGUUGAUAUUUGCGGGCAAACAGCUAGAAGAUGGCAGGACCUUGCUGACUACAACAUUCAGAAGGAGUCUACUCUUCACUUGGUGCUUCGCCUUCGUGGUGGUAUGCAGAUAUUUGUUAAGACUCUGACAGGGAAGACUAUAACCUUGGAGGUCGAGAGUUCUGAUACAAUUGACAAUGUAAAAGCCAAGAUCCAAGAUAAGGAAGGAAUCCCACCAGAUCAGCAGAGGCUUAUCUUUGCAGGAAAACAGCUUGAAGAUGGUCGUACCCUUGCAGACUACAACAUCCAAAAGGAAUCCACCCUCCACUUGGUACUUAGACUUCGGGGAGGUAUGCAGAUUUUUGUGAAGACUCUUACUGGGAAGACAAUCACCUUGGAAGUUGAAAGUUCAGAUACCAUUGACAAUGUCAAGACUAAAAUCCAAGACAAGGAAGGGAUUCCACCAGACCAACAGAGGCUGAUUUUUGCUGGUAAGCAGUUGGAGGAUGGGAGGACCUUAGCUGAUUACAACAUUCAGAAGGAGUCAACUCUCCAUUUGGUGCUUCGAUUGCGUGGUGGAAUGCAGAUAUUUGUGAAGACGCUGACAGGAAAAACCAUUACUCUCGAGGUUGAGAGUUCUGAUACAAUUGAUAAUGUCAAAGCUAAGAUCCAAGACAAAGAGGGUAUUCCUCCUGAUCAGCAGAGGUUGAUCUUUGCAGGUAAGCAGCUGGAGGAUGGACGUACCCUGGCAGAUUACAACAUCCAGAAGGAGUCCACCCUGCAUCUUGUCCUCCGACUUCGUGGUGGUUUUUAAACUGUUGUCCUUCUAUAUGAAUGCCUAGCUAUUGGUAAUGGCUCCAAUAAGUAUCUUUACAAAUGUCUUUACUGUGCUUGGUUACAUGACUUUAAGGUCAUUGAUUUGAACAAUAUUUUCGGACUUAUGAAUGUGAUAUUGGUAUGUCCUGUUUGCUAUUAUCCAUCUGAUCUGAGUAUAUAGUCUCUUGAAUGUAAUUCUAUAUUUCCUUAUGUGCUAUUCUUACUCAAUGUCAGUAGUUCCGGUCAUUAUAGUAGUAUAUGACUGGAUUCGUUGACUAA
Molecule: non-coding RNA, 1790 nt
Organism: Carica papaya (papaya)
Lineage: Eukaryota; Viridiplantae; Streptophyta; Magnoliopsida; Brassicales; Caricaceae
Source: RefSeq, a predicted model, not a curated record